Molecule: long non-coding RNA, 1036 nt
Organism: Homo sapiens (human)
Lineage: Eukaryota; Metazoa; Chordata; Mammalia; Primates; Hominidae
Gene: ENTPD1-AS1
Product: ENTPD1 antisense RNA 1
Source: Ensembl
GGCCCCGGCUCCGGUUAUCCCAGCCCAGCUAGUUCUGCCCAUGCAGCAGAGCUCCACAAAAGUGCGGGAAUGUCUGACAGGGAAGAAUCAGAGAAACCUUCACCAGCAGCCCGACAUUCACCUGGACGGACAGUGCACUUUUCUUACGUCUGGGCAGGGAAGGCAGGGCGCACCAUCUACCGCAGGCUAGGAUGAUCACCAACCGCCCCACCGCACCCUGCGCCAGCCCUACGGCGCCCGCGGGCUGCAAGUAGCGGCGACCCAGGAGCAUGCGCGCUGCCGCCCCUGGCCUGCCAGGACCCAGAGGGAGCGGAGCACGCGCCUUUGGGAAUCUUCGGUGCGCCAAGUCUGUUCGCCGCCGGGGUCUAUCACCCCCGCCCCUCGCCUCUGCCCGUGAGCGUAAUGGCCUGUCCAGAAGACAGCCAAAUACAUCCUUCAAACAGACUUCACUGCAGGAGACAGAGUGGAUUCAUCCUGUAUUCUCCAUGUAGACUUCCAUCUUCAUGAGUACUCCAAGAAGAUGGUUCAGUUGACUAUUGCAAAGUCUCAGGUAUGUCUUUAUCAGCAGCAUGAAAAUGGACUAAUAGUACCAGUAGAGUGGGGCAUUGCUGAAAAGAUACCCGAAAAUGUGGAAGCAACUUUGGAACUGGGUGUUGAAAUAAUCUGGAGGGCUCAGAAGAAGAUAGGAAAAUGUAGGAAAGUUUGGAACCUCCUAGAGACUGUGAAUGGCAUUGACAAAAAUACUGAUAGUGAUAUGAACAAUAAGGUCCAGGCUGAGGUGGUCUCAGAUGGAGAUGAAGACCUUGUUGGGAACUGAAGUAAAGGUGACCCUUGUUAUGUUUUAGCAAGGAGACUGGCAGCAUUUCACCCUUGCCCUAGAGAUUUGUGGAACUUAGAGCUUGAGAGAGAUGACUUAGGGUAUCUGGUGGAAUAAAUUUCUAAGCAGCAAAGCAUUCAAAAGGUGACUUGGGUGCUGUUAAAAACAUUCUGUUUUAAAAGGGAAACAAGAGCAUAAAUGUGGAAAAUCUGCAGCCUG